GAGCAAACAGUAAGAAUUUCCCCUUGUACAUAGAUCAGUUAUAAUACGAUAUGAUUUAGUGAUGAACAACAAAGCUCACUUACACUAGAUGUGUAGCUGCAAAUUAUGCUACAUUUAUAACAUCCAAAUAACUUGAGUCACACGCCUGCUCUUCUAGGGAAGAUUCUCAAUAAUCUUAUGAAAAUCAACAGAUUUAACUGGAUUUGAUGGAUCAUGCAGAUGCCUAAUUAAUGUGAAUCGAUCUCCCUACAAACACUGGUAAGACGGAGAAGCCCACCGGAAUCUUCAUUAACCAACCUUUCCGGCAGAGAUGGGCGGAGCUCCCAUGAACACUCAUAAGAAGCACACUGUUGAGAGUAAAGCAAUUGUCACAUAUUUUUCUUUU
RNAcentral lists this unclassified non-coding RNA (385 nucleotides) under Hevea brasiliensis (rubber tree). Lineage: Eukaryota; Viridiplantae; Streptophyta; Magnoliopsida; Malpighiales; Euphorbiaceae. The record is from RNAcentral.